RNAcentral lists this long non-coding RNA (338 nucleotides) under Brassica napus (rape). Its description in RNAcentral is "long non-coding RNA (BNAP_LNC019426)". Lineage: Eukaryota; Viridiplantae; Streptophyta; Magnoliopsida; Brassicales; Brassicaceae. The record is from RNAcentral.
AGCUGUUAGAUUUUGUGCCAUGAUAUGGGAGUUACGUGAAAGUGAUCGUGGGGAUUUGAGAAAUUUUAGGAAUCUAAAAACUAAAAAAUCUAAGAAACAAAAAGUAAGUUCUUUUUUGUUAAAACUAUUUCUGUCACAAUUCUUUAAUUUUCCUAUUGGCUCCGAUUUUUACCAAUGUCAUCCGUUCUAGUUUGAUUCGUCAUGUGUGUAAGUUAGAUAAAAAUAUGUAAAAAACUGUUUAAAGUUGUGAAAGUUAAUUUUGAACGUGUGAUAAGAUCAUUUGAAAAAAUAUAGGAGAAUUUGGAACUGCAAAAAAAGAAUGGAUUGACGUGAAUAUU